GACGAACUUUGGCGGCGUGCUUAACACAUGCAAGUCGAACGGAAAGGCCCUGCUUUUGUGGGGUGCUCGAGUGGCGAACGGGUGAGUAACACGUGAGUAACCUGCCCUUGACUUUGGGAUAACUUCAGGAAACUGGGGCUAAUACCGGAUAGGAGCUCCUGCUGCAUGGUGGGGGUUGGAAAGUUUCGGCGGUUGGGGAUGGACUCGCGGCUUAUCAGCUUGUUGGUGGGGUAGUGGCUUACCAAGGCUUUGACGGGUAGCCGGCCUGAGAGGGUGACCGGCCACAUUGGGACUGAGAUACGGCCCAGACUCCUACGGGAGGCAGCAGUGGGGAAUAUUGCACAAUGGGCGGAAGCCUGAUGCAGCAACGCCGCGUGCGGGAUGACGGCCUUCGGGUUGUAAACCGCUUUCGCCUGUGACGAAGCGUGAGUGACGGUAAUGGGUAAAGAAGCACCGGCUAACUACGUGCCAGCAGCCGCGGUGAUACGUAGGGUGCGAGCGUUGUCCGGAUUUAUUGGGCGUAAAGGGCUCGUAGGUGGUUGAUCGCGUCGGAAGUGUAAUCUUGGGGCUUAACCCUGAGCGUGCUUUCGAUACGGGUUGACUUGAGGAAGGUAGGGGAGAAUGGAAUUCCUGGUGGAGCGGUGGAAUGCGCAGAUAUCAGGAGGAACACCAGUGGCGAAGGCGGUUCUCUGGGCCUUUCCUGACGCUGAGGAGCGAAAGCGUGGGGAGCGAACAGGCUUAGAUACCCUGGUAGUCCACGCUGUAAACGGUGGGUACUAGGUGUGGGGUCCAUUCCACGGGUUCCGUGCCGUAGCUAACGCUUUAAGUACCCCGCCUGGGGAGUACGGCCGCAAGGCUAAAACUCAAAGGAAUUGACGGGGCCCCGCACAAGCGGCGGAGCAUGCGGAUUAAUUCGAUGCAACGCGUAGAACCUUACCUGGGUUUGACAUGGAUCGGGAGUGCUCAGAGAUGGGUGUGCCUCUUUUGGGGUCGGUUCACAGGUGGUGCUUGGCUGUCGUCAGCUCGUGUCGUGAGAUGUUGGGUUAAGUCCCGCAACGAGCGCAACCCUUGUUCACUGUUGCCAGCACGUUAUGGUGGGGACUCAGUGGAGACCGCCGGGGUCAACUCGGAGGAAGGUGGGGAUGACGUCAAGUCAUCAUGCCCCUUAUGUCCAGGGCUUCACGCAUGCUACAAUGGCUGGUACAGAGAGUGGCGAGCCUGUGAGGGUGAGCGAAUCUCGGAAAGCCGGUCUCAGUUCGGAUUGGGGUCUGCAACUCGACCUCAUGAAGUCGGAGUCGCUAGUAAUCGCAGAUCAGCAACGCUGCGGUGAAUAUGUUCCCGGGGCU
Molecule: ribosomal RNA, 1346 nt
Filed under: uncultured bacterium
Lineage: Bacteria
Description: partial 16S ribosomal RNA
Rfam family: Bacterial small subunit ribosomal RNA
Source: RNAcentral